UGAUCCGUUCCCAGCCGGCCGUGGCUCCGGCUCCGACGCUGAUAACUAUUUAGGUAUUCCCGGCACGGAUUCUCCUCACGGUCUCUCCUAUCCAUCGUUCACAUCAUUCUCCCUUCAGAUUUUAGCCCGAUUUAAAGUUCUCGCUCCUCGAAUGCGGGUCAUGGUACUUUUAAUCUGAUUUAUUAUUUGCAUCAUAAUCUACAGCUCCAGGAGAAAUCCAUUCAACAACGCUAUGGUCUUACUUCUAGAAAGUGUCUGUCCUUGAUAGCUCGUCUGACGAAAUGGACCACUAGACAAGGUACGAAUUUCAGCAUUCUGAUACAUGUGUCGUAACUAAAAUUGCACGUAGAACACGAUGCGCACGAUCAAAAUUACCGAAAUUAACUCCUUACGAGGAUGAUUCCUGAUGCGUGAAUUCAAACCACCCGCCAUGAAAACUCAAUGCUUUACGUGAUUCACAUCGCGCGCUAAACGUUAUCAUGACAGUCUUUGCGAUAUAAAAAUCUGGCAACCUCAAUUUUGACGCUUUGGCUCAGCUAUAGCAAAUUACUAAUAGUUUGAACAACACAUGGUGGGAAAUGAACUUGCUCGAUUGAGAAGCUUGCUGAAACCGUUGUAGUGCGCGAUUUGACUCACGUAGAGCUUUGAGUUUCUGGUGAGCGGGCAGUUCAAAUUCCUCGUAACCAAUGUGAAAUAAAAACGUUAAUAUCUUUGUUGGGAGUUGGUUUCAAUAAUUUUUGUUGUGCGAAUCGUGUUCGACAUGAAAUUCUGGUUAAGAAAAAUGUGUCAGAUUGCUUAAAUUCUUACCUUGUCUAGUGGUCCAUUGGAAAAGACGGAUAGCGACGGUGAAACUACCAAACCACGUAUCUCGUUUGCGGUGUUUAAAAAUCUACGCUCGCAUUUUAUUUUUUUGAAGUAGACCAAAUCAAUAUCAUUCCUUGAAAUUUUCACAGAAUUUUCUCCGCACGAAGAGGAAAAGUCACAGAAAUUUUCAAGCCUGGACGUUAAGUAGUUUUUCAUUUAAAAAAUAAAGUAUGACAGGAAGUCUGCGACGUUGCAAACCGAGAUACGUGGUUUGAUAGUUUCACCGUCAAUAGAGAGAUUGCCUUACGAGUGACUUACAAGGGAGAAGCA
Molecule: long non-coding RNA, 1134 nt
Filed under: Bemisia tabaci
Lineage: Eukaryota; Metazoa; Arthropoda; Insecta; Hemiptera; Aleyrodidae
Description: lncRNA ENSSSA1UGG008572
Source: RNAcentral